This 854-nucleotide ribosomal RNA is filed under the name uncultured bacterium. RNAcentral describes it as "bacterial SSU rRNA". It matches the Rfam family "Bacterial small subunit ribosomal RNA", at positions 540 to 1397 of the family's 1533-position model. The record is from RNAcentral.
GUUAUCCGGAUUUAUUGGGUUUAAAGGGUGCGUAGGCGGAUUGAUAAGUCAGUGGUGAAAACCUGCAGCUUAACUGUAGACUUGCCGUUGAUACUGUCAGUCUUGAGUGUGGUCAAGGUAGGCGGAAUGUGUAAUGUAGCGGUGAAAUGCUUAGAUAUUACACAGAACACCGAUUGCGAAGGCAGCUUACUGGGCCAUUACUGACGCUGAUGCACGAAAGCGUGGGGAUCGAACAGGAUUAGAUACCCUGGUAGUCCACGCCGUAAACGAUGAUCACUCGCUGUUAGCGAUACACAGUUAGCGGCUAAGCAAAAGCAUUAAGUGAUCCACCUGGGGAGUACGGCCGCAAGGCUGAAACUCAAAGGAAUUGACGGGGGCCCGCACAAGCGGAGGAACAUGUGGUUUAAUUCGAUGAUACGCGAGGAACCUUACCUGGGCUUAAAUGUAGAGUGCAUUCAGCUGAAAGGCUGAUUUCCUUCGGGACUUUCUGCAAGGUGCUGCAUGGUUGUCGUCAGCUCGUGCCGUGAGGUGUCGGGUUAAGUCCCAUAACGAGCGCAACCCUUAUCGUUAGUUGCCAGCGGGUAAUGCCGGGAACUCUAACGAAACUGCCGGUGUAAACCGAGAGGAAGGUGGGGAUGACGUCAAAUCAGCACGGCCCUUAUGUCCAGGGCUACACACGUGUUACAAUGGCCGGUACAGAGGGCAGCUAUGCCGCGAGGCAAUGCGAAUCUCGAAAGCCGGUCUCAGUUCGGAUCGGAGUCUGCAACUCGACUCCGUGAAGCUGGAUUCGCUAGUAAUCGCGCAUCAGCCAUGGCGCGGUGAAUACGUUCCCGGGCCUUGUACACACCGCCCGU